This 622-nucleotide ribosomal RNA is filed under the name uncultured archaeon. Its description in RNAcentral is "bacterial SSU rRNA". It matches the Rfam family "Archaeal small subunit ribosomal RNA", at positions 146 to 774 of the family's 1478-position model. The record is from RNAcentral.
AUAAUACUCCAUAGAUUAGAGACACCGGAAGGUUCUUUAGUCGAAAGUUCGGGCGCCUAAGGAUGGAUCUGCGGUCGAAUAGGUUGUGUGGGGGUAACGGCCCAACAAGCCUGUAAUCGAUACGGGUUGUGGGAGCAAGAGCCCGGAGAUGGAAUCUGAGACACGAUUCCAGGCCCUACGGGGCGCAGCAGGCGCGAAAACUUUACAAUGCAGGAAACUGUGAUAAGGGAACUCCGAGUGCCCGUAUACGCGGGCUGUGCAGGUGUUUAAAAAUCAUCUGAAGAAAGGGCCGGGCAAGACCGGUGCCAGCCGCCGCGGUAAUACCGGCGGCUCGAGUGGUGGCCACUAUUAUUGGGCUUAAAGCGUCCGUAGCUGGACCGAUAAGUCUCUUGGGAAAUCCGCCGGCUCAACCGGCGGGCGUCUAAGGGAUACUGUUAGUCUAGGGACCGGGAGAGGUGAGAGGUACUCCGGGGGUAGGAGUGAAAUCCUGUAAUCCCCGGGGGACCACCGAUGGCGAAGGCAUCUCACCAGAACGGCUCCGACAGUGAGGGACGAAAGCUGGGGGAGCGAACCGGAUUAGAUACCCGGGUAGUCCCAGCCGUAAACUAUGCGCGUUAGGUGU